UAAGGAAUAUUGGGCAAUGGAGGCAACUCUGACCCAGCCAUGCCACGUGGAGGAUGAAGGCCCUCUGGGUUGUAAACUUCUUUUACUUGGGACGAAACCUUCUUAUUCUUAGGAAGUUGACGGUACCAAGGGAAUAAGCACCGGCUAACUACGUG
Molecule: ribosomal RNA, 155 nt
Filed under: uncultured bacterium
Lineage: Bacteria
Description: partial 16S ribosomal RNA
Rfam family: Bacterial small subunit ribosomal RNA
Source: RNAcentral